UCUUACGCAAUGCCACUACACGCUGGAAUCAUAUUAAGAGUUAAUGAACCCUACAGGAAGCAAAUCAUAAGAUUAUGACUGAAUGUGAACGGAGAAACUAAAGAAAGCUAAGCAUGUCACGCAGCUAAUGAGAUUUUACCGUUCCAGAAUAUAAAUUUAUUACAAUUAAUGCAUAAUUCUGCGAGACACAAAGACGUGUUUUCACAGCAGAUUAUCCUCAUUAGAGGGAUUAUGCUCAUUAAACACAUGUACUGUGUGUUGUUGAUGAUGGAAACGGACCAGUGCUGUUGAACUGGCGCCUGCUGGAGACUGCAUCUUCAAAUUGUGACACCUACCCAUUGCUGGCCAUAGCUAUCUUCCAAGUCAUUGAGAUACUUAUCGUCCCAGUUGACUCGAAUUCCUAUUAAAUCGGAGGGCAGGAAUCCGUUCUCGGCAAGAAUUACAAAGU
This is a long non-coding RNA of Cyprinus carpio (common carp), 448 nucleotides long. RefSeq lists it as uncharacterized. The transcript is spliced from 3 exons. Lineage: Eukaryota; Metazoa; Chordata; Actinopteri; Cypriniformes; Cyprinidae. The record is from RefSeq and is a predicted model, not a curated record.